RNAcentral lists this long non-coding RNA (431 nucleotides) under Prunus dulcis (almond). RNAcentral describes it as "sRNA ncRNA". Lineage: Eukaryota; Viridiplantae; Streptophyta; Magnoliopsida; Rosales; Rosaceae. The record is from RNAcentral.
AUGGAACCUUUUUUCACAUUCACUAGAUUCCCUGGAAUUUUCCAUCAAGCUCCCAAAAAGUUCAAGGCAUCAAAAGCUGGUUGAGUUCCCUGCCGUUAAUAGCCAGAGUGUGUCAUAUAUAUGCAGUGCUUCAAUUUCCUCCAAACACACUGUUCCCACCUCCCACCCGCCCGGACGCAACUGGACUUUUGUUCCUUGUUGAUGGUUCUUUGGAAGUUGACUAAUCGACACGAAAAACAAUCUGUACACUCAAAAGCUUCAAACUGGAGAUCUGUUUAUAUUUCCCAAGGGAUUAGUUCAUUAUCAGUAUAAUUCAGAUCCUCAAUUGCCAGCCACAGCCAUUGCAGCAUUCGGAAGUGCAAGUGCUAGAGCAGUUACAGUGCCACCAGCUGUUUUUACCACUGGAAUUGAUGAUGUGAUCUUGGCCAAAU